Camelina sativa (false flax) is the source of this 1492-nucleotide non-coding RNA. NCBI's taxonomy places the organism in Eukaryota, Viridiplantae, Streptophyta, Magnoliopsida, Brassicales, Brassicaceae. The record is from RefSeq and is a predicted model, not a curated record.
ACGAUCCAUCGGGUCGGGUCACGACGAACGCAAAUAUCAAAACCACCAGCAAAAGCCCGAUCAGUAUCGCCAUACAACACAAGUAAACCGCCAGCGCCGAUGAAACCAGUUGCGGAGACGACGAGGAUGAGAACGCCGAGGACGACGACGGGCCAACGGAGGAGAUUAACACACUCGUUGUCAGGCUUUGAAGCUAGCCAUAUACCUGACGCCGUUAUUGGUAUGGAACAGAGUAAAGCUAGUAAGUUCAGUAUCGCGGUUAAGUUAUUCGCUAACGCCAUCAAAAUUCUCUCUUUCUCUCUCUGACUUGAAGAAGAUUCGAGCUUUUUUUGUUUGUUUGUUUUUUUAUAGAAUGAAAAUGAAAUUAUGAGAGUGAGAGGAGUGCUGAUUGUUGUCUCUGUUUUUAGACUUAUGAAGGUCGGUGGUUCGAGAGGUGAUGGGAUGUGUGAAACCUCUGUUUACUCCCUAUUUACAGAAAACGAGGUUCGGUUCUUUCCUCCGGUCCGGAAAACUCAAUUUCCGGUUUGAAGUUGAUUUAAAGGGAGUGGGUUAAUUAUUUUAUUCGAUUAAUUAAACAUAGAAAUGUUUGGUUUAUGAUGGAAAGUGAACUGGUUAAAAGGGAUAAUUUGUAGUUUCACUUUUAAGAUGAACUGGGUUAAUCUGGUGGUCGGACCGGCUUUUUGGGUUUUUAAAGAGUGGAAUCAUGUCACAUGGUCUGAUGGAUGGACGGACACGCGGAGACACGAGAUUACUUUUUGUUGGCUUUGAAAGCGAGUUUGUGCAACAGACGCGCGUUUGUGCGCGUUGUUACUGCUUUAUAUCGAAGAGAAGAUUCUUCUAUUCUGUGCAAGUACUUGAUCAAACCAACGAGAACUAACCACGUGGCGUAAACGACUUUGUGUGAUUGCGUUGAUUGAGUUCAAUUGUUCGAUUUUUUUUUUUUUUUUUUUUUUNCAGCAUUAGAGAUGUUUUGGAGCACGAUUUUGUCUUAAGCUUGAUGAGGGAAGUGUCGGGUACUGAUCAAGAGGUAGGCUUUGCUUUUUAAUUCAGAGGAUUGGUAUUUGAUGCACACAAGCUGCUCGAUAGAAUGUGUAAACCAAGAUUACUGAUUUAAGUAUAUUAUUUCCUCAUCUGGUUUUAAUUGGAAGAGUUUGAGUCUAUAUACUAGCUCAUUGUCUAAUCAUAAGAUCAAAAACUCUUCUUUUUGGUAUGGUGAGGGGCUCUUGAGGAAUUUGAUGAGCCUGCUUCAGCUUUGGUUUGGAACAUGUCAAGUGAAAGUGACGAAAGAAGAGCUUCGUUGCCCCAGCCAGAUUCCAGUUUUGGUGUUGGUGUUCCCAUUGAGCAUUCAGGAAGGAUGGGUUCAAAAACUUCAUUUGCAAGGAAUAAAGUAGUAUACAAGCUGAAUCAAACGUGGCUGUUAUUUUCUUUAUAAAGGGAAACACAAGAAGAAGACAAGUUUUAAGCAAAAAUGGGAGAAUUUUAUGGGAGCAUU